This 439-nucleotide ribosomal RNA is filed under the name Salmonella enterica subsp. enterica serovar Teko. RNAcentral's name for it is "bacterial SSU rRNA". It matches the Rfam family "Bacterial small subunit ribosomal RNA", at positions 287 to 718 of the family's 1533-position model. The record is from RNAcentral. Lineage: Bacteria; Pseudomonadati; Pseudomonadota; Gammaproteobacteria; Enterobacterales; Enterobacteriaceae.
CUGGUCUGAGAGGAUGACCAGCCACACUGGAACUGAGACACGGUCCAGACUCCUACGGGAGGCAGCAGUGGGGAAUAUUGCACAAUGGGCGCAAGCCUGAUGCAGCCAUGCCGCGUGUAUGAAGAAGGCCUUCGGGUUGUAAAGUACUUUCAGCGGGGAGGAAGGUGUUGUGGUUAAUAACCGCAGCAAUUGACGUUACCCGCAGAAGAAGCACCGGCUAACUCCGUGCCAGCAGCCGCGGUAAUACGGAGGGUGCAAGCGUUAAUCGGAAUUACUGGGCGUAAAGCGCACGCAGGCGGUCUGUCAAGUCGGAUGUGAAAUCCCCGGGCUCAACCUGGGAACUGCAUUCGAAACUGGCAGGCUUGAGUCUUGUAGAGGGGGGUAGAAUUCCAGGUGUAGCGGUGAAAUGCGUAGAGAUCUGGAGGAAUACCGGUGGCGA